UCUUUUCCUUUUUUUCCAGCCGCCGCGGUAAUACGUAGGGGGCAAGCGUUAUCCGGAUUUACUGGGUGUAAAGGGAGCGUAGACGGCAAGGCAAGUCUGAUGUGAAAACCCAGGGCUUAACCCUGGGACUGCAUUGGAAACUGUCUGGCUCGAGUGCCGGAGAGGUAAGCGGAAUUCCUAGUGUAGCGGUGAAAUGCGUAGAUAUUAGGAAGAACACCAGUGGCGAAGGCGGCUUACUGGACGGUAACUGACGUUGAGGCUCGAAAGCGUGGGGAGCAAACAGG
RNAcentral lists this ribosomal RNA (284 nucleotides) under Fusicatenibacter saccharivorans. RNAcentral describes it as "partial 16S ribosomal RNA". It matches the Rfam family "Bacterial small subunit ribosomal RNA", at positions 493 to 776 of the family's 1533-position model. Lineage: Bacteria; Bacillati; Bacillota; Clostridia; Lachnospirales; Lachnospiraceae. The record is from RNAcentral.